AGAAUCAACGCUGGCGGCGUGCCUAACACAUGCAAGUCGAACGAGAAAGGGGUAGCAAUACCCUGAGUAAAGUGGCGCACGGGUGAGUAACACGUGACUACCUACCCUCGAGUGGGGAAUAACCUCGGGAAACCGGGGCUAAUACCGCAUAACAUCUACGGAUCAAAUGCGUAAGCAGCUUGAGGAGGGGUCGCGGCCGAUUAGCUAGUUGGUGAGGUAAUGGCUCACCAAGGCAAUGAUCGGUA
This 245-nucleotide ribosomal RNA is filed under the name uncultured bacterium. Its description in RNAcentral is "partial small subunit ribosomal RNA". It matches the Rfam family "Bacterial small subunit ribosomal RNA", at positions 26 to 285 of the family's 1533-position model. The record is from RNAcentral.